GACGGAGGGCGCAAGCGUUGUUCGGAAUCACUGGGCGUAAAGGGCGCGCAGGCGGAAAGGGAAGUCGGCGGUGAAAGGUCGGGGCUCAACCCCGAUAUGUCUGCCGAAACUCUCUUUCUAGGGACCGGUAGAGGCCGGUGGAAUUCCCGGAGUAGCGGUGGAAUGCGUAGAUAUCGGGAAGAACACCCGUGGCGAAGGCGGCCGGCUGGGCCGGGUCCGACGCUGAGGCGCGAAAGCGUGGGGAGCAAACAGG
Molecule: unclassified non-coding RNA, 253 nt
Filed under: uncultured Gemmatimonadota bacterium
Lineage: Bacteria; Pseudomonadati; Gemmatimonadota
Description: uncultured Gemmatimonadetes bacterium contains 16S-23S intergenic spacer region
Rfam family: Bacterial small subunit ribosomal RNA
Source: RNAcentral